This 460-nucleotide ribosomal RNA is filed under the name uncultured bacterium. Its description in RNAcentral is "partial 16S ribosomal RNA". It matches the Rfam family "Bacterial small subunit ribosomal RNA", at positions 338 to 795 of the family's 1533-position model. The record is from RNAcentral.
CCUACGGGUGGCAGCAGUGAGGAAUAUUGGUCAAUGGACGAGAGUCUGAACCAGCCAAGUCGCGUGAAGGAUGAAUGCCCUAUGGGUUGUAAACUUCUUUUAUAUGGGAAUAAAAUGUUCCACGUGUGGGAUUUUGUAUGUACCAUAUGAAUAAGGAUCGGCUAACUCCGUGCCAGCAGCCGCGGUAAUACGGAGGAUCCGAGCGUUAUCCGGAUUUAUUGGGUUUAAAGGGUGCGUAGGUGGAUUGUUAAGUCAGUGGUGAAAGUUUGCGGCUCAACCGUAAAAUUGCAGUUGAAACUGGCAGUCUUGAGUACAGUAGAGGUGUGCGGAAUGCGUGGUGUAGCGGUGAAAUGCUUAGAUAUCACGAAGAACUCCGAUUGCGAAGGCAGUUCACUGGACUGCAACUGACACUGAGGCUCGAAAGUGUGGGUAUCAAACAGGAUUAGAUACCCUUGUAGUC